CUAAGAGGAGGGGAUGAAAGCCCUAGGCGGCUUAGAGCGGGGACAGUUUAUGACAGGGGCGGCUGCAGCUGGUGACAUUCUUAGAGAAGUUAUUUCUCAUACCCCUGGGAAGCUGCCUGCUCUUUCCCCGACGGAAGUACCCAAGAAGUCCCCUGUGUAUGACAAAGCAUCUGUCCUUGAGAUACAGUCUGCCAGCUGGCCGGAGCAAGGCCUUCAGCCAAAACAGUGGACAAUAUGCAAAGAAGUCAAAAUGAAGCGCCUGAGUGUGGGAUGGCGAGUGAACGGUCAGUCCGGGCAUCACUAAUGGACAGCCGUCACGUCCGUGAAGCAGACCCUAACAUCACUGCCGGGGUCAGCAGUCAGUUCCUGAGCCCCCGUGGUGUGCCAGGCACUGGCCUGGGCACCGGGGAUGCCCUGGGGCCACUGCCAGUGACCAGGGAGCGCCACUGCUGCCCCGGUGCAGCACACCCACUGGUGUCUGGACAUUUUUGUAUUUGUUUAUUUACAUAGCGUCUGUAUUCAGAGAAGAGUCAAGGCUGUUUAUGAUUAAGAAGUACAUGAACCCCAAAACCAGAUUAAAGGCUGCGGUCCACGUGGUAAAGGAAACUGGGGCGGAAGAAGAGUCGCAGCUGAAAGUCUGGAUUCAAGGCGGCCCUGCCACCUCUGAGGCUGCGCCUCGGCUCUGCCCUGCCCACUGGGAGGUCAGAGAAGGAAGCAUGUGUGUGCUGGCCUCACUCCUGGAAUCAGCCUUGCUCCAGCGCACGGGGUUCUGAAGCAGCAAGUGCUGGCUCCGUUCGCACACGUGUCCUCUCCGCAGGAAUGCUCAGCCUCCUUGCCCUGGGUAAAUACCACCGGCCAGGUUUCAAGAUCCAUUACUCACUCAGUGUCCAGAGAUGCCUGCCCUGACCCUGCGUCAGGGCCAGAGAGCCCCUCCUGAUGCCCAGGCCUCUUCCUAGCUCUGUCCCAGGCGGCUCUGGGGACUGGAGCUGUCCCUGUGUCCUCCCUGCUGGCUCCUGAGCUGCUCCGGGGCAGGGCACGUAGUAGGAACGCAUAGCAUAUUCUUGGCGACAGCAGUUCUUAAUGAAGGGGUCCGUGCUGUGGCGUAGCAGGUAAGGCCGCCACCUGCAGUGCUGGCAUCCCGUAUGGUUGCAGGUUCGAGUCCCAGCUGCUCCACUUCUGAUCCAGCAUCCUGCUAAUGCUCCUGGGAAAGCAGCAGAGGAUGGCCCAAGUGCUUGAGGCCCCUGCAUCCACGUGGGAGACCUGGGCUCCUGGCUUCAGCCUGGCCCAGCCCUGGCCUUUGCAGCCAUCUGGGGAAUAAGCCAGCAGGGGCAAGAUCUCUCUUUGCCUCUCCCUGUCUCUUUCUGUUCUGUAACUCUGCUUUUCAAGUAAAUAAAUCUUUUUUAAAAAAAACA
Molecule: long non-coding RNA, 1412 nt
Filed under: Oryctolagus cuniculus (rabbit)
Lineage: Eukaryota; Metazoa; Chordata; Mammalia; Lagomorpha; Leporidae
Description: lncRNA (ENSOCUG00000032780.1)
Source: RNAcentral